This 423-nucleotide ribosomal RNA is filed under the name uncultured bacterium. RNAcentral describes it as "partial 16S ribosomal RNA". It matches the Rfam family "Bacterial small subunit ribosomal RNA", at positions 360 to 774 of the family's 1533-position model. The record is from RNAcentral.
AAUCUUCCGCAAUGGACGAAAGUCUGACGGAGCGAUGCCGCGUGAGUGAUGAAGGNCUNNGGAUCNUNAAACUCUGUUGUUAGNNNNNAACAAGUAUCGAAGUUAUAUGCCGGUACCUUGACGGUACCUUACCAGAAAGCCCCGGCUAACUACGUGCCUGCAGCCGCUGUAAUACGUAGGCGGCAAGCGUUGUCCGGAAUUAUUGGGCGUAAAGGGCACGCAGGCGGUUAUUUAAGUCAGAUGUGAAAUCUUGUGGCUUAACCACAAGCGGUCAUUGGAAACUGGAUAACUUGAGUACAGAAGAGGAGAGUGGAAUUCCACGUGUAGCGGUGAAAUGCGUAGAGAUGUGGAGGAACACCAGUGGCGAAGGCGGCUCUCUGGUCUGUAACUGACGCUGGGGUGCGAAAGCGUGGGUAGCGAACA